CAAGAACAUUGCCUUUUUUAUUUAUUUUUUGUCAAGGUAAAUCAGGAGGAGGUCAAUGUCACCAGCAUGUUUUACAUUGCACUUGUUUAAAUCUUCACGGUUUUGUUUCAUUUCCUCUGAGCAAACGAACUUUACUUUUAUUUCUACCGUGGCAGUAUUCACCAAAUAAUAUGUUGUAGGCAGACACAGAAAAUACGAUGUAGAGAGAAGAAAAUGUUAUCACAUGCCUCCCUUCACUCUUCACUAUCCAUGAAAAUCCCCUUCUGCCCACAGUUAUUGCCCCUUCUGUAUGCUCCUCUUGGUAUCUUUCUAUCUUCUAAAAAAGAUAUCUUGGGGUAGGGAUUAUUUUCAUUCAUACAUAUAUACCUAAAUAUAUAUAGGCACAAAUACAUAUAUUUAUAUACACAUCUAUUUAUAGAUGUAUAUGUAUGUAUGUAUAAAUAACUGUGUGUACAGAGAGAAAAAAGAGAGGCAGACAUUGUAUCUAGCUAACCAUUACAACAGAUAGAGCAAUUAUAAACUCAGCUGGAUUAUUCUUAAUUUUUACUGGCCUGACCGAGACUUGAACAUGACCAAUUAUGCAUAGGCUGACAAACCAGAGAACAUCAAGAUUAAUUUUUUAUAGCUACAGAACCAUUUGCACUCCAUAACCUUGGGAGUGACACUCUGCCUGUAAUCAGGGACACAUUUUUGUCAUGCCACCACAGUAAAUGCUAAAGCACCUUUUGCAUCUGUCACGCUGCAGAAGGCAGGAGAGGCAUAUGGAGCUCCGAGCACCCCCAGAACAGCAUGGAGACCACACAAAACUGGAACAAAGGAAAAAUAUUUCCUACUUCCCCAGGUUGUUUUUUUUCUUUUUUUUUCCUUAUGAAGGUAUUACUUCGAACUUCAUUUGUUCUCAAAAGAGGAAAGAGGUACAGACAGUGUGAGGACCAUAUGUAGUGGCAGCACCGGGGCUCCAGCAUACAUUGCCUGCCACUGGGUGGACAGGACAGGAUCUGGCCCUUGCCAUCUCCAUAGCACUGCUGUGCAUAAAGCACUCCAUGACAGCUUCUGGGGGACUACUAGCAGACAGCAGGUCCCCAGCACUUUCACACAGCCGAGCAAGAUUGGAGCACAAGUCUUCUGAAGAGUGGCUGGGGGAAUUGGGAUUGUUCAGUGUGGGGAAGAGGAGGCUUGUGGAGACCUUAUUGCUCCCUACAGUUGUCUGACAGGAAGUUGUGGCGAGGUGGGGGGUCAGCCUCUUCUCCCAGGUAACAGCAAUAGGAUGAGCGGUAAUGGCCUUAAGCUGCACCAGGGGAGGUCCAGGUUGGGUUUUAGGAAAAAUUUCUUCUCAGGAACAGCGAUGAGGCAGUGGCACAGGAUGCCCAGGGAUGUGGUGGAGUCACCAUCCCUGGAGGUGUUUGAGGAACGUGUAGAUGUAGCACUGAAGGACACGGUUAGUGGCCACGGUGGUGAUGAACUGAUGGUUGGACUAGAUGAUCUUAAUGGUUUUUUCCAGUCUUAAUGAUUCUACAAUUCUAAGAUGCUGCAAGAUGAGGAGACUCAGCAAUUUGCUAUGAAGAUUUCCUAACUUUCUCCCAACACGUUUAUCUUCCUUCACUCCAGCUCCUGGAGUUCUCACAGGGAGAGAGGCACAGUAUGCAACACAAACAAGUGUGCAAGUGCACAUGUCCACACUGAGCACCUGCAGGAGGUGUGAGCUGCACCUGCAACCCUCCCGUGCAGCACAGCGGGGGGCUGCUGCCAGGAGGGAGCUGACAAGAGGGGAAAAGGAUUUGCAAACUCCUGUCCAGUUGAGAGACUGGGUACAACUCCGUAGAGCAGCAAUGCUGUUUAGGAAGGAUAUAUAUUCAUUGUGGUUUUGUUGUUCUUUUUCUUUCUUUUUUUUUUUUUUUUUUUUAAUCUAUUACCGUGCUUGGCUGCAGGUCGGGCUGUACCAGAGCUUCCAUUCAAACCCUUUUUCAGAUGGGUGAUCUGGGACGGGGCUUUGAACUCAGCGGAGGUGAGAUCUUUUGUUGUUUUCUCCUGCAG
Long non-coding RNA from Gallus gallus (chicken), 2034 nucleotides. The record is from Ensembl. Lineage: Eukaryota; Metazoa; Chordata; Aves; Galliformes; Phasianidae.